RNAcentral lists this ribosomal RNA (1345 nucleotides) under uncultured bacterium. Its description in RNAcentral is "bacterial SSU rRNA". It matches the Rfam family "Bacterial small subunit ribosomal RNA", at positions 28 to 1381 of the family's 1533-position model. The record is from RNAcentral.
GACGAACGCUGGCGGCGUGCUUAACACAUGCAAGUCGAACGAUGAAGCGGUGCUUGCACCGUGGAUUAGUGGCGAACGGGUGAGUAAUACGUGAGUGACCUACCUUUGACUCUGGGAUAAGCCUGGGAAACUGGGUCUAAUACCGGAUACGACCAAUCUCUGCAUGGGGUGUUGGUGGAAAGCGUUAUGGAGUGGUUUUAGAUGGGCUCACGGCCUAUCAGCUUGUUGGUGAGGUAAUGGCUUACCAAGGCGACGACGGGUAGCCGGCCUGAGAGGGUGACCGGCCACACUGGGACUGAGACACGGCCCAGACUCCUACGGGAGGCAGCAGUGGGGAAUAUUGCACAAUGGGCGCAAGCCUGAUGCAGCGACGCCGCGUGAGGGAUGACGGCCUUCGGGUUGUAAACCUCUGUUAGCAUCGAAGAAGCGAAAGUGACGGUAGGUGCAGAGAAAGCGCCGGCUAACUACGUGCCAGCAGCCGCGGUAAUACGUAGGGCGCGAGCGUUGUCCGGAAUUAUUGGGCGUAAAGAGCUUGUAGGCGGUUGGUCGCGUCUGCUGUGAAGGCCGGGGCUUAACUCCGGUUUUGCAGUGGGUACGGGCUAACUAGAGUGCAGUAGGGGAGACUGGAAUUCCUGGUGUAGCGGUGGAAUGCACAGAUAUCAGGAGGAACACCGAUGGCGAAGGCAGGUCUCUGGGCUGUAACUGACGCUGAGAAGCGAAAGCAUGGGGAGCGAACAGGAUUAGAUACCCUGGUAGUCCAUGCCGUAAACGUUGGGCACUAGGUGUGGGGGACAUUCCACGUUUUCCGCGCCGUAGCUAACGCAUUAAGUGCCCCGCCUGGGGAGUACGGCCGCAAGGCUAAAACUCAAAGGAAUUGGCGGGGGCCCGCACAAGCGGCGGAGCAUGCGGAUUAAUUCGAUGCAACGCGAAGAACCUUACCAAGGCUUGACAUGCAUUAGAUCGCGUCAGAGAUGGCGUUUCCCUUCGGGGCUGGUGUACAGGUGGUGCAUGGUUGUCGUCAGCUCGUGUCGUGAGAUGUUGGGUUAAGUCCCGCAACGAGCGCAACCCUCGUUCUAUGUUGCCAGCGGUUCGGCCGGGGACUCAUAGGAGACUGCCGGGGUUAACUCGGAGGAAGGUGGGGAUGACGUCAAAUCAUCAUGCCCCUUAUGUCUUGGGCUUCACGCAUGCUACAAUGGCCGGUACAGAGGGUUGCGAUACUGUGAGGUGGAGCUAAUCCCUUAAAGCCGGUCUCAGUUCGGAUUGGGGUCUGCAACUCGACCCCAUGAAGUCGGAGUCGCUAGUAAUCGCAGAUCAGCAACGCUGCGGUGAAUACGUUCCCGGGCCU